AAAAGUCACAUUCUUGGGUGAAACAAGUCUGAGCCUUCAAAGAUGGCUAAAUUGCAGAUCCUUUAAAAAAAAACGACUCUCCUUAGAAGGUUAGUGGAUACAGUUUGCUUCUCUCUACCACAGGGCAGCAGGAGGCUGGGGAGGGUGGGGGAGGAAUGGGGGGCUCACCAUGCCUCCAGUGGAGGCUUGGCAAGACCUCCCAACACACCAUCCUUGAGAUGACCGCAAACUUGCGCCUCUCCUCCUCGUGUACCUUUACCUUUUGUCUUUUUCCAGACAAAAGAGAGAGGAACUGGCUCAGAAGGUGGCGGAAGAGAGAACCCGCCGAGAGGAGGAGGCCCGCCAGCUGGAAGCUGAGCAAGCUCGGGAGAGGGAAGAGCAGCUGCGGCGGCAGGAGGAGGAGCGGGCCCGGCGCGAGCAGGAGGAGGUGGAGCGUGUCCAGAAACAGAAAGAAGAAGAAGCUCGUGUUCGAGAAGCAGCAGAGAGGGUCCGACAGGAACGGGAGAAGCAUUUCCAGAGAGAAGAGCAGGAGCGCCUGGAGAGAAAGAAGGUAAUUGCACCACCCACAGAAGCUGGGCCCCCUCACUAUUCCUUCUAGAUUGAAGCCAGGUAGACACCUAGAAACUAGUUCACUGCCAUCAAAAAACAAAUGUGUUCUGUCUAUUCCAGAUAAACUAAAGUAGCUCUAGUAUUCUCCUCCAAAGAAAAGCACUCUUGAUGUUUCAGCCUUCAACAAAAACAAUUACUUCCAAUUCAUGUGGUGUUAAGCCAGUUUCAGUUUUGAAUAACUCCAGUUAAGACAAUUUUCCGAAAAUAAUAGACAUGUUUCAAUGACCUGCUAUUUGCUUACUCAGUGAAAUGCGCCAAGCUAGCUUUCUUUCUCUAUCUGAUGUGUUUGUUCAAUUCUUCCUUUCUUCCAGCGACUUGAGGAGAUUAUGAAAAGAACCAGAAGAACAGAAGCUUCAGAUAAGGUAUUGAGAUGAGCACUGUUAAAGCUAUUAUUAACGGAUUUUUUUUUCACUUGUAAUCUUAACAUUAAAACAUCUUUCUUUUUCCUGUUAGAAAAUUGUUGAUCAGAGAAAUGGAGAUAUAGCCAAGGGAGCUCUCACUGGAGGAACAGGUAUUUCAGUGAACUCAAAUCAAUUCAAAUGCAUAAUUUUUGAAUUGACUCUCUAGAGGUCAAGAUAAAAACACUGAUUUAAAAUUUUAAAAAACUCAUUGACUAAUAGAACCUUAGGUACAUCUAGUCCAUGAAUCCCCUUUAUCUAAAAAUCUCUAGCAUUUCUAGCAAAUUUUUUCACGUUUGUUUAUACUCUAAUGGUGUGGUUGAUAUGUUCAAGUCAGAGUUCCCAUUGUGGCA
This 1360-nucleotide long non-coding RNA is filed under the name Sus scrofa (pig). RNAcentral's name for it is "lncRNA (ENSSSCG00035014476.1)". Lineage: Eukaryota; Metazoa; Chordata; Mammalia; Artiodactyla; Suidae. The record is from RNAcentral.